This is a long non-coding RNA of Mastomys coucha (southern multimammate mouse), 1308 nucleotides long. RefSeq lists it as uncharacterized. The transcript has 3 exons. The record is from RefSeq and is a predicted model, not a curated record. Lineage: Eukaryota; Metazoa; Chordata; Mammalia; Rodentia; Muridae.
GGUUGGAGUGCACUUCGGAGAUGAAACUGAGAUGCCGGUCAGAAGAAGCUAAGCUGUGACUGGCAGAUGGUUCGGAACUUCCAACUAUGAUACAAUGAACAUCAUGCAGCAAUGAGAAGAAAUGGACUAGUGCUACCCGGGGCUAAUGGGAAAGCCUCAGAGAUCCUAUCCUGAGUGAAGGAAGGCAUGCGUAGAGGAUCUCAGAAAUCCCAUCCCAAAUGAUGGAAGACAUGCAUAGAGGAUCCCAGAAAUCCCAUCCCAAGUGAAGGAAGAUAUGCAUAGAGGAUCCCAGAAAUCCCAUCCCAAAUGAUGGAAGACAUGCAUAGAGGAUCCCAGGAAUCCCAUCCCAAGUGAAGGAAGGCAUGCAUAGAGGAGCAAGCACGAGCCACAAACCCUGUUCUCAUCUGAACUGGCACUGUGACACUUUCCCGAUCUAUAAUUGUACCUGUGUUUGUUGACUUAGCUGUAACCAGCCUCCCGUUCACUAGACUGUAAGUGCCAGGAAGUAUUACUCAUCAUGAAUCUUCAGCACCUAACAUUAUACUGAGCACACAGUUACUGUUUGGUGAGCGAGGACCACAGACUCAGUGAGCAACAGAGCAGAGAUCAGGGUGAUGCAGUGUCGGUCUGAUAUCUUGAGCCAUUGUUCUGUCUUGAUUCACACACUCAGUAGUCCCUUGGAAGCAUCUGAGCCACCGUGAGCAGCCAUGGAGCAACAGUUUCCUCCUGGCAUUGCCUGCUUGUCCAGUCCCCUCAAAGAAGGCCUGUGUUGGACAUUCUGAGCUCUACAAGCCUCCUGGCAUUUUCUGCUCAGUGAGCCCAUCCAUUCCCAUUUACUUCAGAGGGCAAAAGAUAUAAACUGCAAAAGACCUUCUUAUCCCAAGGACUCACUGGAUGUGUGCGCACUUUAUUCGGGACUGCUCUGUCCCAGUUCAUAUGCAUUCACCCUUUCACGUAAGCAAGUAUUUAAAGACACUCGCUUGCAGGCACUCUCCAUUGGACUGCUGCAGAGCCAAGCUACCCAGGGACAAAUGGGCAGAGCACUGGCUCCUAAGAAGAUCAGGAUCGGGUGGAAGAGUGCAGAGGAAUGGGAGAAGCCACACUACACUCCUUGGAGCACUCUUAUGGACUUGCCGGGCUAUCUAUGUCAAAGAGCCAUGUGACACCAAGCUUUGUCACCUCAUUUAGCUUGCUUCAGUUUCCAUAUAGGAUUGUCGUGACCAUUGAGUGCCAGUGCUUAAGCAAUGCUCAAAGAUAUAUUAAAUUCUCAAUCAAUAUAAGAAAUAAAAAUGAUGGUAGUGGUGGUAA